GAAGUAGGGUGCAAGCGUUGUCCGGAAUUAUUGGGCGUAAAGCGUUCGUAGGCGGUCUGUUAAGUCUGAUGUUAAAGACAGGGGCUCAACCCCUGCAUGGCAUUGGAAACUGGCAGGCUAGAGUAUGGUAGAGGCAAGGGGAAUUCCCGGUGUAACGGUGAAAUGUAUAGAUAUCGGGAGGAACACCAGUGGCGAAAGCGCCUUGCUGGGCCAUUACUGACGCUGAGGAACGAAAGCCAGGGUAGCGAAAGGG
This 253-nucleotide ribosomal RNA is filed under the name uncultured bacterium. RNAcentral describes it as "partial 16S ribosomal RNA". It matches the Rfam family "Bacterial small subunit ribosomal RNA", at positions 524 to 776 of the family's 1533-position model. The record is from RNAcentral.